RNAcentral lists this non-coding RNA (491 nucleotides) under Pan troglodytes (chimpanzee). Lineage: Eukaryota; Metazoa; Chordata; Mammalia; Primates; Hominidae. RNAcentral also lists the same sequence under 1 other name. The record is from RNAcentral.
GAAAUAUAUCAGAAGUCAUCUGGGGAAGUAUUUCUUCUACAAUUGAGAACUGCUUUAUGCAAAAAAAGUCACUUUGGCUGGGUUAGUAGGUGCAUGAACCAGGUCCUGAACCACAACAGGAGCCUCCUAAGGCGAGAGGUUGAAGCUUCUCUUCUGACUCUGGGAUCAGCCCCAGAGCAGGCCCUGCCCCCAGGAGUCUGUGUGUCUGCUCUCUUCUUCCCAUCCAUAUUCCUUUCAGGAGGGUCACGCAGCACAAUGCCAGCUCUGCCCCUGGACCAACUCCAGAUCACCCACAAGGACCCGAAGACAGGAAAGCUGAGGACUUCACCAGCGCUGGUGAUCUUUGACGAGACUCUACAGAAGUGCCUGGACUCCUACCUGCGCUAUGUCCCCCGCAAAUUCGACGAGGGGGUGGCCUCAGCCCCUGAGGUUGUUGACAUGCAGAAGCGCCUCCAUCGAAGUGUUUUUCUCACCUUCCUCCGCAUGUCCAC